AUGUCAGGUUCACGAUGGCAAGGUGCUGCUGCGGCGGCGGUGCGAUCCUUCACAGAUGAGUGGCCACAAUUCUUCUCCAGGGAUAGGAGAUGGACGACGUUACGGAUGAAAAGCCUGCCCGUCUCCAGUCUAUUUUUGCUCCGGAUAAAUUUUGAAUUCAGUGCAGUAGAGAACACCUACAAAAUAAUCACAAGGAUUCAUGAACUCACUUUCGAAUGGCAGAAAUGUGAUGUUCAAUUGGCAUUAACCCGAUUGAUUUCUUGCCUGGGAAGGGGAGACCGAGGAGGAAAUGGCGACCAAGAGGAGCGUGGGCACCCUGGGCGACAAGGACCUCAGGGGGAAGAAGGUGUUCCUCCAUGCCGAUCUGAACGUUUUGCUGGACGACAGCCAGAACAUCACCGACGACAAUGGCAUCCGCGCCUCCAUGCCGUCCAUCAAUUUCCUCAUGGGGAAGGGUGCCAAGGUCAUCCUGGCCAACCAUCUGACUUAGGAUCGUAG
This 498-nucleotide ribosomal RNA is filed under the name Triticum aestivum (bread wheat). Its description in RNAcentral is "partial small subunit ribosomal RNA". The record is from RNAcentral. Lineage: Eukaryota; Viridiplantae; Streptophyta; Magnoliopsida; Poales; Poaceae.